GCAGGGGGAAGGAGGAGUGUGCUCUGAAAAGCAACCUUCUCCUGAAUACCAGAUGAAUGAACUAAUGAACCGAUGUAUCGGAACAUUCCAAGGAGCCCAGACCUACUGUGGUUACUGCUGGAAAAAAGCUGCACUUUGCACGAGCAGUGUGUGUGAAGGUGGAAGGGGAAUCUGUUCUACAGUAUCACCUGGGAAAGGAUUUAGUAUGGUGGGAUCAUGCAUUGACCCCGAAAGUGGAGUUGUGAGUAGGGAGUGCUCGUGUUGGAGUUCUUUGUGGAUUCCUUUUGAGCCAAUCCUGAGCUAAUCCUUAAUCCAAAUUAUGGAAGUAAAAAGACGAAAAAAAUCCAAAUUUUUUUUAAAGAAAUUCAUUUGUGUUUGAAAAUUCAAUAAUAAAUAAUUCUGCAAAUA
Long non-coding RNA from Eurytemora carolleeae, 408 nucleotides. RefSeq lists it as uncharacterized. The record is from RefSeq and is a predicted model, not a curated record. The transcript has 2 exons. Lineage: Eukaryota; Metazoa; Arthropoda; Copepoda; Calanoida; Temoridae.